Molecule: non-coding RNA, 645 nt
Organism: Leptonychotes weddellii (Weddell seal)
Lineage: Eukaryota; Metazoa; Chordata; Mammalia; Carnivora; Phocidae
Source: RefSeq, a predicted model, not a curated record
UUGUUUUUUGUUUUUUUAAUAGAGUAUAUUUCCUUUUCCUUAUAAAAAGACAGUCUCACGGAAGUUUUUUUGAAACUCUGAUUUUACUCCAAGGCUGUAAAUGAAUAAUUUAUUAUUCUGCUCUUUUUAAACUCACUUUAAGGUAAAACCACCUCAGCUCAUCGAUUUUCUGCAACAGAAAAAAGCAGAAGGUUACACCGUCAUUGGUGUGGAACAGACUGCCAAGAGUAUAGACCUGACCCAGUAUAGCUUUCCGGAGAGAUCUCUGCUCUUGUUGGGAAAUGAACGUGAGGGAAUUCCAGCAAAUCUGAUCCAACAAUUGGAUGUUUGUGUGGAAAUUCCUCAGCAGGGCAUUAUCCGCUCACUUAACGUCCACGUGAGUGGGGCUCUGCUCAUUUGGGAAUAUAUGCGACAGCAGCCGCUCAGGCAUGGGGACACCGAGUCAUGAACUUUGUGCCUUAUCUGAGAUCAAUUAUCGGUGCUCUUGAAACCUUGUUUAAAACGAUGUGUACUAAUGAAAUCGAUUCUGAAAUUUACCGGGAUAAUUUGUAUUUCUUUUUCUUGCCAACUUAAUGCCAAAACUUUUUCACGUGCCUUAAAUAUAUUACUAUAUGUUGUCCCCUUGAAUAAAUAUUUUUAGCUAAA